RNAcentral lists this transfer RNA (73 nucleotides) under Candidatus Stahliibacteriota bacterium CG23_combo_of_CG06-09_8_20_14_all_34_7. Its description in RNAcentral is "bacterium (Candidatus Stahlbacteria) CG23_combo_of_CG06-09_8_20_14_all_34_7 tRNA-Ala". It matches the Rfam family "tRNA". Rfam says of the family: Transfer RNA (tRNA) molecules are approximately 80 nucleotides in length. Their secondary structure includes four short double-helical elements and three loops (D, anti-codon, and T loops). Further hydrogen bonds mediate the characteristic L-shaped molecular structure. tRNAs have two regions of fundamental functional importance: the anti-codon, which is responsible for specific mRNA codon recognition, and the 3' end, to which the tRNAs corresponding amino acid is attached (by aminoacyl-tRNA synthetases). tRNAs cope with the degeneracy of the genetic code in two manners: having more than one tRNA (with a specific anti-codon) for a particular amino acid; and 'wobble' base-pairing, i.e. permitting non-standard base-pairing at the 3rd anti-codon position. Lineage: Bacteria; Candidatus Stahliibacteriota. The record is from RNAcentral.
GGGGCUAUAGCGCAGUUGGAAGCGCGUUUGACUGGCAGUCAAAAGGUCACGGGUUCGACCCCCGUUAGCUCCA